This 478-nucleotide ribosomal RNA is filed under the name uncultured bacterium. Its description in RNAcentral is "bacterial SSU rRNA". It matches the Rfam family "Bacterial small subunit ribosomal RNA", at positions 30 to 507 of the family's 1533-position model. The record is from RNAcentral.
UGAACGCUGGCGGCAGGCCUAACACAUGCAAGUCGAACGGCAGCACAGGAGAGCUUGCUCUCUGGGUGGCGAGUGGCGGACGGGUGAGGAAUAUAUCGGAAUCUACCCUUUCGUGGGGGAUAACGUAGGGAAACUUACGCUAAUACCGCAUACGAACUGAGGUUGAAAGCGGCGGACCGCAAGGCGUCGCGCGGAUGGAUGAGCCGAUAUCCGAUUAGCUAGUUGGCGGGGUAAAGGCCCACCAAGGCGACGAUCGGUAGCUGGUCUGAGAGGAUGAUCAGCCACACUGGAACUGAGACACGGUCCAGACUCCUACGGGAGGCAGCAGUGGGGAAUAUUGGACAAUGGGCGCAAGCCUGAUCCAGCCAUGCCGCGUGUGUGAAGAAGGCCUUCGGUGUAAGCACUUUGUCAGGAGAAUCCUUGAGUUAUACCUCGGGGGAGUGACGGUACCGUGAAGAAUAAGCACGGCUACUACGUG